AGUGAAACUGCGAAUGGCUCAUUAUAUAAGUUAUCGUUUAUUUGAUAUUGCCUAUCCUACAUGGAUAACAGUGGUAAUUCUAGAGCUAAUACAUGCUGAAAAUCCCGACUUCGGAAGGGACGUAUUUAUUAGAAUCAGAACCAAUGCCCUUCGGGGUUCCUUGGUGACUCAUGAUAACUCCACAGAUCGCAUGGCCUUGCGCCGGCGAUGGCUCAUUCAAAUUUCUUCCCUAUCAACUUUCGACGGUACGGUAUUGGCCUACCGUGGUUGUAACGGGUGACGGAGGGUUAGGGCUCGACCCCGGAGAGGGAGCCUGAGAAACGGCUACCACAUCCAAGGAAGGCAGCAGGCGCGCAAAUUAUCCAAUCCCGACACGGGGAGAUAGUGACAAUAAAUACCGAUACAGGGCUCUUUUGGGCCCUGUAAUUGGAAUGAGUACAAUUUAAACCUCUUAACGAGGAACAAUUGGAGGGCAAGUCUGGUGCCAGCAGCCGCGGUAAUUCCAGCUCCAAUAGCGUAUAUUAAAGUUGUUGUGGUUAAAAAGCUCGUAGUCGAACCUCGAGCCUGGCCGACCGGUCCGCCUCACCGCGUGCACUGGCCUGGCCGGGCUCUUCCCUCUGCGGAACCGCAUGUCCUUCACUGGGCGUGUCGGGGAGGCAGGACUUUUACUUUGAAAAAAUUAGAGUGCUCAAGGCAGGCCAAUGCUCGAAUACAUUAGCAUGGAAUAAUAGAAUAGGACGUUGGUUCUAUUUUGUUGGUUUCUAGGACCGCCGUAAUGAUCAAUAGGGACGGUCGGGGGCAUCAGUAUUCAGCCGUCAGAGGUGAAAUUCUUGGACCGGCUGAAGACUAACUACUGCGAAAGCAUUUGCCAAGGACGUUUUCGCUGAUCAGGAACGAAAGUUAGGGG
RNAcentral lists this ribosomal RNA (907 nucleotides) under Phaeoisaria sedimenticola. RNAcentral's name for it is "SSU rRNA". It matches the Rfam family "Eukaryotic small subunit ribosomal RNA", at positions 80 to 996 of the family's 1831-position model. The record is from RNAcentral. Lineage: Eukaryota; Fungi; Ascomycota; Sordariomycetes; Pleurotheciales; Pleurotheciaceae.